Molecule: long non-coding RNA, 1393 nt
Organism: Oncorhynchus keta (chum salmon)
Lineage: Eukaryota; Metazoa; Chordata; Actinopteri; Salmoniformes; Salmonidae
Exons: 4
Source: RefSeq, a predicted model, not a curated record
UUAAAUUUGGGGAAAUGACACUCUCUAAUUGUUUUAUAUUUUUGACAUUUUGUCAGGAAAUGCAGCUCUGUCUCAGGUUCUGCUGUUGUGCAGUGGUUACACAGCCUUUCCUCUACAGGGAGCCAGGUUUUCCUGUGUCUACCCUUCUCAACGGCAAGGCUGUUCUCACUGAGCCUGUACAUUGUCAAGGUUUUUCUAAGAUUUUGAUCAGUAACCAUGUCAAAUAGUUUGCCACGGUGUUCUGUCGAUUUAGGGCCAGGUAGCACUGCAUUUGGCUUUGUGCUUGUUCUUGUGUUUCCCAAAAAGCAAUUUAGUUUUGUUUUUGUAAUUUGUUUUAUUCUGAUUGAUUGGAUGUUCUGGUCCUGAGGCAUCAGCAUGUUAGUAGAACAGGUUAGUGAACUCAGAACCAGCUGGAUGAGGGGACCGAGGCUUCAGUGUGUUAGUAGAACAGGUUAGUGAACUCAGCCCCAGGACCAGCUGGAUGAGGGGACUGAGGCUUCAGUGUGUUAGUAGAACAGGUUAGUGAACUCAGCCCCAGGACCAGCUGGAUGAGGGGACUGAGGCUUCAGUGUGUUAGUAGAACAGGUUAGUGAACUCAGCCCCAGGACCAGCUGGAUGAGGGGACUGAGGCUUCAGUGUGUUAGUAGAACAGGUUUGUGAACUCAGGACCAGCUGGAUGAGGGGACUGAGGCUUCAGUGUGUUAGUAGAACAGGUUAGUGAACUCAGCCCCAGGACCAGCUGGAUGAGGGGACUGAGGCUUCAGUGUGUUAGUAGAACAGGUUAGUGAACUCAGGACCAGCUGGAUGAGGGGACUGAGGCUUCAGUGUGUUAGUAGAACAGGUUAGUGAACUCAGCCCCAGGACCAGCUGGAUUAGGGGACUGAGGCUUCAGUGUGUUAGGAGAACAGGUUAGUGAACUCAGGACCAGCUGGAUGAGGGGACUGAGGCUUCAGUGUGUUAGUAGAACAGGUUAGUGAACUCAGCCCCAGGACCAGCUGGAUGAGGGGACUGAGGCUUCAGUGUGUUAGUAGAACAGGUUAGUGAACUCAGCCCCAGGACCAGCUGGAUGAGGGGACUGAGGCUUCAGUGUGUUAGUAGAACAGGUUUGUGAACUCAGGACCAGCUGGAUGAGGGGACUGAGGCUUCAGUGUGUUAGUAGAACAGGUUAGUGAACUCAGGACCAGCUGGAUGAGGGGACUGAGGCUUCAGUGUGUUAGUAGAACAGGUUAGUGAACUCAGGACCAGCUGGAUGAGGGGACUGAGGCUUCAGUGUGUUAGUAGAACAGGUUAGUGAACUCAGCCCCAGGACCAGCUGGAUGAGGGGACUGAGGCUUCAGUGUGUUAGUAGAACAGGUUUGUGAACUCAGCCCCAGGACCAGCUGGAUGAGGGGAC